This 262-nucleotide ribosomal RNA is filed under the name uncultured bacterium. Its description in RNAcentral is "partial 16S ribosomal RNA". It matches the Rfam family "Bacterial small subunit ribosomal RNA", at positions 524 to 784 of the family's 1533-position model. The record is from RNAcentral.
UACGAGGGGUGCAAGCGUUGCUCGGAAUUACUGGGCGUAAAGCGCACGUAGGCGGGUUGUUAAGUCGGGGGUGAAAUCCUGGAGCUCAACUCCAGAACUGCCUUCGAAACUGACGAUCUUGAGUUCGGGAGAGGUGAGUGGAACUGCGAGUGUAGAGGUGAAAUUCGUAGAUAUUCGCAAGAACACCAGUGGCGAAGGCGGCUCACUGGCCCGAUACUGACGCUGAGGUGCGAAAGCGUGGGGAGCAAACAGGGAUUAAGAA